Molecule: long non-coding RNA, 725 nt
Filed under: Urocitellus parryii (Arctic ground squirrel)
Lineage: Eukaryota; Metazoa; Chordata; Mammalia; Rodentia; Sciuridae
Description: lncRNA (ENSUPAG00010018647.1)
Rfam family: Small nucleolar RNA SNORD101 (bases 534-606)
Source: RNAcentral
CCGGGUGUUGCCUGCUGUGCGCGCCGAACACUGGCCAAGGCAGAGACAGAUGUUUCUCAACAAUCUUAAACCGGAAACAGAAAAUCUAAAAGUCUGGCACCGCGAGAGCCACCUUUUUUUUGUGGGCGGGAACGCACAUGCGCAGGGGAACCUAGCAAAACCCUUAAAUACCGUCAUGCGGUCACGCGCGGCCUCUUUCUCUGCCGCCGCCGAGUCGCGCGGAGGCGGUGGCUCGGGUUUGUUCAAGAUUUAGCUUCGUCCGUAAUCCACCGCCAUGGCCGAGGAAGGCAUUGCUGCUGGAGGUGUAAUGGACGUCAACACUGCUUUACAAGAGGUGCUGAAGACCGCCCUCAUCCACGAUGGCCUUGCACGUGGAAUUCGCGAAGCUGCCAAAGCCUUAGACAAGUACGUUUAUCAGUCUCAAUACUGUGGGUUGUUGCAACCGGAACAAAACUUCAGCCGAGGGAAGAAAGCGCGAAGUUCAUGGUGUUAGCACAAAAGUUCUGAAUGGCAUCCGUUCUUUAAACUACAGUGUUUGAAUGAUGACUUAAAUGUCGGAUACCCCUUCACUCCUUUCAUGGGUGAAAACAUUACAGUCUGACAAACCUGUAGGUUGUGGCUCUAUUCUCGUUUUGAGGAUUCUGAGCCUGAUUCUAGCAAAUCAAGCAUUAUGCUAAAUGAAUGAAACAUGAAGCUGAUGUUUGUUGCAGAAGCAUCUGGACUUU